GGGUUGCUAGCUCAGCUGGUUUAGAGCACUACCUUGACAGGGUAGGGGUCACUGGUUCGACUCCAGUGCAACCCACAA
RNAcentral lists this transfer RNA (78 nucleotides) under Bacteroidota bacterium. RNAcentral describes it as "Bacteroidetes bacterium (sediment metagenome) tRNA-Val". It matches the Rfam family "tRNA". From Rfam's summary of the family: Transfer RNA (tRNA) molecules are approximately 80 nucleotides in length. The record is from RNAcentral. Lineage: Bacteria; Pseudomonadati; Bacteroidota.